Molecule: ribosomal RNA, 253 nt
Filed under: uncultured bacterium
Lineage: Bacteria
Description: partial 16S ribosomal RNA
Rfam family: Bacterial small subunit ribosomal RNA
Source: RNAcentral
UACAGAGGUCUCAACCGUUGUUCGGAUUCAUUGGGCGUAAAGGGUGCGUAGGCGGCGGGGUAAGUCAGGUGUGAAAUCUCGGGGCUCAACCCCGAAACUGCACUUGAUACUGCCUCGCUUGAGUACUGGAGAGGAGACUGGAAUUUACGGUGUAGCGGUGAAAUGCGUAGAUAUCGUAAGGAAGACCAGUGGCGAAGGCGGGUCUCUGGACAGUUCCUGACGCUGAGGCACGAAAGCCAGGGGAGCAAACGGG